GACGAACGCUGGCGGCGUGCCUAAUACAUGCAAGUAGAACGCACAGUUUAUACCGUAGCUUGCUACACCAUAGACUGUGAGUUGCGAACGGGUGAGUAACGCGUAGGUAACCUGCCUGGUAGCGGGGGAUAACUAUUGGAAACGAUAGCUAAUACCGCAUAAUAUUGAUUAUUGCAUGAUAAUUGAUUGAAAGAUGCUAUUGCAUCACUACCAGAUGGACCUGCGUUGUAUUAGCUAGUAGGUGAGGUAACGGCUCACCUAGGCGACGAUACAUAGCCGACCUGAGAGGGUGAUCGGCCACACUGGGACUGAGACACGGCCCAGACUCCUACGGGAGGCAGCAGUAGGGAAUCUUCGGCAAUGGACGAAAGUCUGACCGAGCAACGCCGCGUGAGUGAAGAAGGGUUUCGGAUCGUAAAGCUCUGUUGUAAGAGAAGAACGGGUGUGAGAGUGGAAAGUUCACACUGUGACGGUAGCUUACCAGAAAGAGACGGCUAACUACGUG
Molecule: ribosomal RNA, 505 nt
Filed under: uncultured bacterium
Lineage: Bacteria
Description: partial 16S ribosomal RNA
Rfam family: Bacterial small subunit ribosomal RNA
Source: RNAcentral